Molecule: long non-coding RNA, 1305 nt
Organism: Dermacentor albipictus
Lineage: Eukaryota; Metazoa; Arthropoda; Arachnida; Ixodida; Ixodidae
Source: RefSeq, a predicted model, not a curated record
UCAGUUGGCUCCGUGUCUCUCUCUCUGCGUCGGGCGCUCGCCGCGCGUUCGCUGGGCGCGGGCCCCCACUAGCCUGCCGCUGCCGACACAACACUCUGCACUGGCGUGCUACGAAGCUGUGCCGUGGCCUUGGCAACGCAUCGCUUGAUAAGCCGCACCGAUCUCCCGCGCCGCCGCGUGCACCAGCCGUUGCCGCUCUCCGCAGCUGGGUCGCCGCCUGACCACGUGACUCGAUGCGCGCAUGGCUAAGAGGAGCGCCGCGUUCGCCGAGUCAGUGCGAGCCUGGCCAUGAACAAGAGCGAGGACGGUCUUCUUUGAGCGUUGCGUGGGAGAGCGGGAGGCUUUGAGCCGUCGUCGGCAAGCGGCGUCUGACCAUCCCCCAGAUAUGGCCCAGCGAGCUGCUUCACUGGAGAGAAGCGUCUCAGGUCGGCUGCUCGAAACCGGAUGUCACGCGAGGUCAAGGAGCUACUCCCUGCACCUACAUAGGUGCUAAAGUAGCUAGGGAAUAAUUCCUCGGGAAUGACUGCCAUGUGCCCAGUCCCUUUGGGCCUAGAAGCAUCCACUGGCCGAACAGGAGCUGCACGUUGCGCGCACUACCGCCGACCCACGAAAGACUGCGACAUCAAGGCCUUGAUCCUUCAGCUGCAGCGCGACGUGGGCCCUGCCAUUUCACUUUCAAGAUACUUAAGCUGCUUCGACCCUGAAAAUGCUGACGCAAAUGGUGCAUCUGAACAGCCAAUGGAUACCAUGCCCAUCAGGCUGCCUUUAUUGAACAAAAUUAAACAGCACAACGGAAUCAGUCAACCACGUGGGGCACCUCUGACAGCAUAUGUGGUGGGUUGCGAUGGACUGAAUGAUUUCAUCAGCAUUUUCACUGGCUGUAAAGCUGUGAAUCUCUUUGUAUGAUGCACGUGUGGAAAAGAAAGCCAAAACUUGUGCUUACUUGCUUAAAAUAUUCAGGCAUGUCCCAAUGCCAGCAUGUGUGCCCAAAUGCAGGCAUUUGCUAAUCUGAUCCCCACUAUCUCCUCCGGUAAGAGUGUGAUAAAUGCACUGCAGCCACCCUUUGGAAAAAUAUCACACGGCAAUUAUUUCAAGGUAAUUAGUUCUCCCAUGUAGGAUAAAUAUGGGAUAAAUUAGCAGUACUCUUGGGCAAUAAUCUGCCACGUUGACAUGGUGGAGAGCAUUAAUCCCGCUAGGUAACAUCACUUUUGAUAUUUGCAAACAACCUUCUUGCAGCUUGACUUCAUGUAUGAUAUCUUUCAUGCACUGUCAGUGUUCAGAAUAAAAGCAUUUGACCGCUGCAAA